Molecule: unclassified non-coding RNA, 381 nt
Filed under: soil metagenome
Description: partial contains 5.8S ribosomal RNA, internal transcribed spacer 2, and large subunit ribosomal RNA
Rfam family: 5.8S ribosomal RNA (bases 1-119)
Source: RNAcentral
GAUGAAGAACGUAGCAAAUGCGAUAAGUAAUGUGAAUUGCAGAAUUCAGUGAAUCAUCGAAUCUUUGAACGCACCUUGCACCCUUUGGCAUUCCGAAGGGUAUGCUCGUUUGAGUGUCAUUGUACUCUCACUCUCCCGAUACUUUUGGAUCGGGAGUGGUGGACUUGGGUGCUGCUGCUUAACUGUGGCUCGCCUUAAAUGAAGUAGUGCAACUCUCGGUUGGACAUAGUACGGCGUGAUAAGUGUCUUCGCCGGCGCCUCAUUCGAGGGUGGCCGAUCGGGAGCUCUGUGCUUCAAACUGUCUUCGGACAACAUCUGACAACUUGACCUCAAAUCGAGUAGGACUACCCGCUGAACUUAAGCAUAUCAAUAAGCGGAGGA